UUUAUGAGCACCUACACCAUAAAAUGAUAUUUUAGGUAAGGGAACAAACAUUCCUUCAUCUUUUUAUGAAUGUCCUCUGGCUGCUGCAUCUAGCCAUCGCAAAUUUGGUGGCUUAAAAUAACAUAUUCUCUCACAGCUUGAACCUAAGAGUCUGAAAGACAGGUUGCCAGGAGGGCUAAGCUCCUUUUGGGGCUCUGGGUGAGGAUCCAUUCUUUGUUUUUUCCAUAGGUGUCAUGGUCAUAAUGGAUGCCUCACUCCAGCCUCUGCAGGCUUGGCCACCUCCUCUGUCUGUCUCUAAUCUUCCUCUUUAUAAGGACACUUGACAAAGGAUUUGGGGACUAUUUUUAUAAGCCCCCAAUGAGCCUUGCUAUCAUCUUAACUAAAUCAAUCAAAAGUUAUUCUUGAUUUAAUUACUUAAAAAGAGUUACUCUCCAGAGCAAGAUGCUGGCCCCAAGACCUGGAGGUUAGAAUGUGGAGCCCUUACUUAAUCCCAAACAACCCUUAACAAGCUUAGAAUCCAGUGAGGUUACUGAUAAAUCAAUAACAGGACCAUAGCAAGUUGUGAUAGGAGCUCCCGGGAGAGUAAAACGGGGAAAAGAAGCACUCAAGGAUCCCCUCUGGUUGGCAGGAUAGAAAGCCUUCCUUUUGUGAGGAAGGCCAGGAGAACAGGAAGAGUCAGCUGGCUGUGUCCAGAGGAAUUCAGCUCUUCCGGUGUACUGCUUAUUAAAUUAUACCUUUGUCAGUAGAGGAUACGUCCAAUGAGUGGGGCACAGCACUCCUUAUCAGGAGAUUAGGGGAGAUAUACUUUCCAUGGAUGUAGAUGACAUGGUUUUGCUAUCACAAAGCACACGUUAUUUUACUAGACCAUAGACUCCAUGGCUGCCAAAGAAAGGGAUCAUAAUUAUAUAAAUUGAAGCUUACAGAUUUUGGCUGGCUUCUCCUAUCUUUUAAUGGGCUUAUAGCUAAUAAGGGAACAGAUGUUACCCGUUGUAGGUAACUGGGUGUUUGCUUUGUAAUGAGUUUCACCUGGAGAGGCCACUGAUGCAUUAGGCAGUCAACGAUUGUUUUAUUGAUGGUUUUCAUUUGGUUAAGAUUGAUUUACUUUUUUUUUCUAGCUCCUAAUUUUGCAGCCACAUCCAUGGCAUAUUGAUUGAUUAAUUACUCAUCGGCUCAUCACAGCAGACCUGAAAGUAUAGUCUGGGGAGAAUCUAGCUGACCUGGGGACCUCUGGUUUCCCUUUAGAUGGAGCCUUGAAAAUCUGCAGUCCAGGUUCUGCCGGACUUUUAUCUUAAUGAGACUGUCACUCAGGUGCCGAUCAGGAACUCUAUCGAAAAGGCUGCACAUGUAAUAUGAACAGUUGCUUCAAGCUCUGGCUGCCAUGACCUCCUUGACAUAAAGGAUAGUACCCUCCAACCACG
Molecule: non-coding RNA, 1418 nt
Organism: Myodes glareolus (Bank vole)
Lineage: Eukaryota; Metazoa; Chordata; Mammalia; Rodentia; Cricetidae
Source: RefSeq, a predicted model, not a curated record